CAGUAGCGUAUAUUAAAGUUGUUGCAGUUAAAAUGCUCGUAGUUGAAGUUCGGAUGCAGCAGAGCUUGGAAACGCUGUUAUGGUGCUUCCGUUGCUUUUGCUUGUCCACAGUGCGUUGCAAGUACGUAUGUGCUUGUGCGUGCACUUUACUUUGAGAAACAUAGGGUGUUCCACGCAUGUUACGGCAUGAAUAUUCCAGCAUGGGAUAAUCUGGUACGACUUCCAAUCUGCCAUUUUGGUUCGUAGGUUGGAAGUAAUGAUUAAUAGGGACUGUCGGGGGCAUUGGUAUUUGACUGUCAGAGGUGAAAUUCUUAGAUUCGUUGAGGACCAACCACUGCGAAAGCAUUUGUCAAGGAUGUCUCCAUUAA
Molecule: ribosomal RNA, 368 nt
Filed under: uncultured eukaryote
Lineage: Eukaryota
Description: partial 18S ribosomal RNA
Rfam family: Eukaryotic small subunit ribosomal RNA
Source: RNAcentral